RNAcentral lists this long non-coding RNA (427 nucleotides) under Ananas comosus (pineapple). Its description in RNAcentral is "long non-coding RNA (ACOM_LNC029697)". The record is from RNAcentral. Lineage: Eukaryota; Viridiplantae; Streptophyta; Magnoliopsida; Poales; Bromeliaceae.
UGGUGCAAGUUUUGUCCUUAGAAUGGAGUAAAAAAAGAUUUUUUUUUUUUUGGAAAAGCUUUAAAUAUCAUUUCUGUCAUUUCGUAUUUUCUCAUUUUAAUACUCCGUAAUUUAAAGUGUAUCACUUUCGUACCCUAUAUAUAUAUAUAUUUUUUUUUUGUUAUUUUUUUUACUAAUUUUUUUCGUUAAACCAGUGACAAAAUUAAAACUAGAGAGUACUAAAAUAAAUAUUCGAUAAACUAUAGAUGGGAUAUCUGAAGUUUUUUAUAAAUAAUUUAAUAAAAAGUUAACAAAGGACCGACAAAAAAAAAAAAAUGAAACUACAGAAUACUAAAUUGAUAAAUUUAAAUCAUAAUAUAUUAAAAUGAAAUAGUGUGAAACUACAAGAAAGUUAUUUGAAAAAAAAAAAAAUUUUAUUUUGGUUUGG